UGGAGUAAAAGGCUAUGGNUCAACCAUAGUGUGCUCUGGAAACUNUCUGACUUGAGUGCAGAAGGGGAGAGUGGAAUNCCAUGUGUAGCGGUGAAAUGCGUAGAUAUAUGGAGGANCACCAGUGGCGAAAGCGGCUCUCUGGUCUGUCACUGACGCUGAGGCUCGAAAGCGUGGGUAGCGAACAGGAUUAGAUACCCUGGUAGUNCACGCCGUAAACGAUGAGUGCUAGGUGUUAGGCCCUUUCCGGGGCUUAGUGCCGGAGCUAACGCAAUAAGCACUCCGCCUGGGGAGUACGACCGCAAGGUUGAAACUCAAAGGAAUUGACGGGGGCCCGCACAAGCGGUGGAGCAUGUGGUUUAAUUCGAAGCAACGCGAAGAACCUUACCAGGUCUUGACAUCCCGAUGCUAUUCUUAGAGAUAGGAAGUUACUUCGGUACAUCGGAGACAGGUGGUGCAUGGUUGUCGUCAGCUCGUGUCGUGAGAUGUUGGGUUAAGUCCCGCAACGAGCGCAACCCUUAUUGUUAGUUGCCAUCAUUAAGUUGGGCACUCUAGCGAGACUGCCGGUAAUAAACCGGAGGAAGGUGGGGAUGACGUCAAAUCAUCAUGCCCCUUAUGACCUGGGCUACACACGUGCUACAAUGGUCGGUACAACGAGUUGCGAGCCGGUGACGGCAAGCUAAUCUCUGAAAGCCGAUCUCAGUUCGGAUUGGAGGCUGCAACUCGCCUCCAUGAAGUCGGAAUCGCUAGUAAUCGCGGAUCAGCACGCCGCGGUGAAUACGUUCCCGGGCCUUGUACACACCGCCCGUCACACCACGAGAGUUUGUAACACCCGAAGUCGGUGAGGUAACCUUUUAGGGGCCAGCCGC
This 866-nucleotide ribosomal RNA is filed under the name uncultured bacterium. RNAcentral's name for it is "bacterial SSU rRNA". It matches the Rfam family "Bacterial small subunit ribosomal RNA", at positions 590 to 1456 of the family's 1533-position model. The record is from RNAcentral.